Molecule: long non-coding RNA, 2094 nt
Organism: Nerophis ophidion (straightnose pipefish)
Lineage: Eukaryota; Metazoa; Chordata; Actinopteri; Syngnathiformes; Syngnathidae
Exons: 5
Source: RefSeq, a predicted model, not a curated record
UUAAGUUGUCAUUUGCUAUUCUUGUUCACUAGUUAAAUCGUUUUUAUUCUUUUUUAAGUUAGCAUUUGCUAUUCUUGAUCACUAAUUAAAAAAAAAGAAUAAAAACGAUUUUAUUAGUGAACAAAAAUAACAAAUGACUUAAAAGGAAUACAAAUAAGAAAUUCGAUUUUUUUUAAGAAUAAAAACUAUUAGCAAAUGUCCUAUUCCUUUUAAGUUAUUUGCUAUUUUUGUUCGCUAGUUAAAUCGUCUUUAUUCCUUUUUUUAAGUUAUCAUUUUCUAUUUUUGUUCACUAGUAAAUUGGUUUUAUUCCUUUUUUUAAACUGAUCAACUGUUGUCCUAUUUUUAUUUCUUUUUUUAAGUAAUCAUUUGCUAUUUUUGUUCACUAAUUUUUUAUUCCUUUUUUUUAGUUAUUGGCUAUUGUUCAAUAAUUAAAUCGUUUUUAUUCAUCUAAGUUUAACAUUUGCUAUUCGUGUUCACUAGUUUCAAAAAACUAUUUAAAUAGUAAACAAAAAUAGCAAAUAACUUAAAAGGAAUAAAAAUACGACAUUAAGUUAUUUGCUAUUUUUGUUCACUAGCUAAAUCUUUGUUGGUGCCGUGACAUUAUUGAAGCACAAUGCAUGACAAGACAACUCGCAUGGAAUUGAAAAACAUUCAUUGCUAAUCCUUAUACAAUGUGAGAAACAGUGCCACCCAGUGGACAAAUACAAAAUUACCGCCGGCCCAACUUGAAAUAAAAGGUUUCAUAAAUGUAAUUUAAAAAAUGGCGUCAAAAUGUUUUGGAAUUUUGGAAAAUUAAAUACAAUCUGAGAGGUAUACCUAAACAAUUUGCUUCACCUGUGGCUACUUAAUUAGUUACAUCAGUACAUUUAAAAGACAGGAUAAACGUGACAUUCACUGUUGACUUUUUUUUAUUUGUUGACACUAAAACACUUCAAAACAUCUUUGCAUGUUUUUUUUUUAUUUUUAUUUUUUUAAUUUUUUUCCCCUUUUAGUUGGUUAUUGUGGUGAAAAGGAAGGCAGCACUAAAAUGUAGGAGGGGGUGCUAUUUUAAUUUAUUUGGGGGGGUAAACAAUAAGUGUUUAUUACCUGUAUUAUCCUUUAAAAUAAAAACAAUAAAGGUCACGAGGCAAAGCGGUAGCUUUUUCUAUUACCGUAAUGACCUGCUGAGGUUGAUGUGUUGAGUGAUCUUCAGAAUUCCCAUUAUUUUUAACGUAGCACGCCUGCAAGGAAAUUGGCAAAGUGAGGAUAGACGUGCGUGUAGAAGGGGGGGCGGCAACCCGCGGCUCUUUAGCGCCGCCCUAGUGGCUCUCUGAAGCUUUUUCAAAAAUGUAUGAAAAAUGGAAAAAGGGGGAAAAAAAAUACAAAAAAUAUAUUUUUUGUUUUAAUAUGGUUUCUGUAGGAGGACAAACAUGAAACAAGCCUCCCUAAUUGUUAUAAAGCACACUGUUUAUAUUAAACAUGCUUCACUGAUUCGAGUAUUUGGCGAGCGCCGUUUUGUCCUACUAUUUUUGGCGGUCCUUGAACUCACCCUAGUUAGUUUACAUGUAUAACUUUCGAGGACGUGUUUUUGGCCACUUCUUUUUCUGUCUCAUUUUGCCCACCAAACUUUUAAAGUGCGCGAAUGCCCAAAGUUUAGGUUGCCGACCCCUGGUGUAAAAGGAACAAGAGAGGCUACCAGCUGUCUGUCAUGGAGUCCACACAACAUGCACUCAUGCAAAGAAUCACAGCUCAAACUUGCAUGCAGGUGUGUGUUUCGGUGAGAAAAUUGUGGUAAUACGUCGGCUCUUACCGGAGACAUGAGCGGAGCUUGCGUCCUCCUGCGGCUGUCAAAGAGGCAGCUGCGACUUUCUUGGCUCCUCCAUGGCGUCCAUCAGAGACACUGGCUGUCACCACACCCCUCCGACUUUCAGGAAUCUUUCAUCCUCGCUCAAAUUAAUGGGGAAAUCGUCGCUUUCUCGGUCCGAAUCACUCCUGCUGCUGGUGGCUAUGAUUGUAAACAAUGUGAGGAGCCCUACAACCCGUGACGUCACGUGCACAUCGUCUGCUACUUCCGGUACAGUCAAAGCUUUUUUAUUAGCGACCAAAAAAUGCGAA